Molecule: non-coding RNA, 72 nt
Organism: Podarcis lilfordi (Lilford's wall lizard)
Lineage: Eukaryota; Metazoa; Chordata; Lepidosauria; Squamata; Lacertidae
Source: the annotation of a GenBank genome assembly
AGGACUGUAGCUCAGUGGCAGAAUAUAUACUUUGCAUGCAAAAGGUCUCAGGUUGAAUCCCUGGCAGCUCCA